Molecule: ribosomal RNA, 256 nt
Filed under: uncultured bacterium
Lineage: Bacteria
Description: partial 16S ribosomal RNA
Rfam family: Bacterial small subunit ribosomal RNA
Source: RNAcentral
AACUAACGCUAGCGGCGCGUCUUAAACAUGCAAGUCGAACGGUAAGGCCCGCAAGGGUACACGAGUGGCAGACGGGUGAGUAACACGUAAGUAAUCUACCUUAGGAUGGGGGACGAACUCCGGGAAACUAGGAGCUAAUACCGCAUACGUCCGUUCUUUCUGCGGAUUGAACGGAGAAAGCCUUCGGGCGUCCUGAGAUGAGCUUGCGGCCCAUUAGCACUGGAGUGGCGGGGUAACGGCCCACCAUAGCUACGAU